RNAcentral lists this ribosomal RNA (715 nucleotides) under Pseudomonas sp. Its description in RNAcentral is "bacterial SSU rRNA". It matches the Rfam family "Bacterial small subunit ribosomal RNA", at positions 20 to 730 of the family's 1533-position model. Lineage: Bacteria; Pseudomonadati; Pseudomonadota; Gammaproteobacteria; Pseudomonadales; Pseudomonadaceae. The record is from RNAcentral.
UGGCUCAGAUUGAACGCUGGCGGCAGGCCUAACACAUGCAAGUCGAGCGGUAGAGAGAAGCUUGCUUCUCUUGAGAGCGGCGGACGGGUGAGUAAUGCCUAGGAAUCUGCCUGGUAGUGGGGGAUAACGUUCGGAAACGGACGCUAAUACCGCAUACGUCCUACGGGAGAAAGCAGGGGACCUUCGGGCCUUGCGCUAUCAGAUGAGCCUAGGUCGGAUUAGCUAGUUGGUGAGGUAAUGGCUCACCAAGGCGACGAUCCGUAACUGGUCUGAGAGGAUGAUCAGUCACACUGGAACUGAGACACGGUCCAGACUCCUACGGGAGGCAGCAGUGGGGAAUAUUGGACAAUGGGCGAAAGCCUGAUCCAGCCAUGCCGCGUGUGUGAAGAAGGUCUUCGGAUUGUAAAGCACUUUAAGUUGGGAGGAAGGGUUGUAGAUUAAUACUCUGCAAUUUUGACGUUACCGACAGAAUAAGCACCGGCUAACUCUGUGCCAGCAGCCGCGGUAAUACAGAGGGUGCAAGCGUUAAUCGGAAUUACUGGGCGUAAAGCGCGCGUAGGUGGUUUGUUAAGUUGGAUGUGAAAUCCCCGGGCUCAACCUGGGAACUGCAUUCAAAACUGACUGACUAGAGUAUGGUAGAGGGUGGUGGAAUUUCCUGUGUAGCGGUGAAAUGCGUAGAUAUAGGAAGGAACACCAGUGGCGAAGGCGACCACCU